GUUCUUACUUUGACAGCACAUUUGCUAAAACUAAAACUAUACAGACAAAAUUGGCAUGACUCCUCCAUAUUAGAUGACACACAAAUUGUGAAGCAUUUCAUAUGUUU
Hyaena hyaena (striped hyena) is the source of this 107-nucleotide small nuclear RNA. The record is from RefSeq and is a predicted model, not a curated record. NCBI's taxonomy places the organism in Eukaryota, Metazoa, Chordata, Mammalia, Carnivora, Hyaenidae.